Zonotrichia leucophrys gambelii is the source of this 1807-nucleotide long non-coding RNA. RefSeq lists it as uncharacterized. The transcript is spliced from 3 exons. The record is from RefSeq and is a predicted model, not a curated record. Lineage: Eukaryota; Metazoa; Chordata; Aves; Passeriformes; Passerellidae.
GUCUGGGUUAUUUCAGAGGUUCCUGGGCACACAGUUGCUUUUGGACCCUAGCUCUGGUUGGUGCCUGUGCUGCUGAGCUGCAUCUGUGCUGUGGAGGGCUCUGUAACACAGCAGGGAGCUGUGUCCCAAAGAGAGAAGCCCAACAUGAAGCAAGAGAAAAUGAGGAGCAAGGGGCUGCAGAGAGCUCUUCAAGCCCUGAAGGAAGAAGAGAGGCUGUCCUGCACCAGCAUCCUUCUUCAGCUGACCUUCCAAAGAAGAUCUGCACAACUUUGUUCCUCAGCUGGAUCAGACGUACCCGUGCCAGAGCAGGAUGGACCAGCUGGAGCUCCAGGCACAGCUCUUGGUUCACAGAGCUGAGCCUGUGGAAGCUCCAGCAGCUCCUGCCAUCUCUUUCCCUGUUGGCAGCUCCCUCCCUGCAACCCUCAGGCCCUGCCCAUCCUCUCUUUACCUCUCAGCUCACCCCUUCCCUUCACUUUCCCUUAAUAAACAGUUUGGGUUUUUCACUUGACCUGCGUCUCCGUGGAGCUGAAGCGGCACAAAUCCUGAGCCUGGGGACACACAGGGCCGUGCUGCAUUCCAGGCAUGGACAGAGAGGAACAAGGGCAGCUGUGGCUGCAAAGGUCCCUGUCCUGCUGCUCCAGCUGCACAGCAGCGUGGAGUUAAAGGUCGUGCCAAGCACGCUGAAGGGGACAAGGACCCUGGGUUUUAGAAGAGCCAACUAGAGUGUGCUGUGAAGCCAGCCGUUUCCAUUCCAGGGUUUCCAUUUCAGCACAUGCUAUCAGCUUUCUGUAUUGUUGGGCUCCCCAUAAGGCAAUCUUCCUCCUUUUUCCACCAAGCCUCUAAUACCUCUAGACAGUUGCCCAGAAAUAAGUGUAAAAUUCUCUCUUCAAUUCUAUGGUUUCAGUCAAUUCUUACAAAUGCUUCCUAGUAGAAGGAAUCCUAAUCACUGUCCUUCUGCUCUCCUGUUAUCAUUCUUUUCCUGGGAAGUUGCACUCACUGCAUAAAAGAAGAGGCAGUCCAUGGGAAAGGAUAGUCUUUUUCUUUGUCAGCUAAAACUAUAACAGCCCAAUGCUAGGACUGGUGGUAAAGUGUUCUGCAUUUCCAACUACUGCCUCUUAGUAUGUUGCUGUUUUUUUGUAUAUGCAUCACAUACACAAUACAUAUGGAUUUUAAGAAUUGCAUAAACUGCGUUCACAAAGUGGUAGAGCAGACAAAUGAUUUCCCCAGGACACCUGCCUGAGGUUUCUAAGCAGAAUUUUAUUUUACCUUCUGCAUCUUUGAGCUUGUUUUCAGAUAGUUUGCAAUAUGUAAUAAAUUUGCUAGGACUGCUAUGAAAGCUCUUGGUAAACACCUUGGUCAGGGAAAACUUGGCAAUCUACUAUCUGCCUUUAGGGCAAGACCUAUAUACUGGAGUCUUUUCUUUCUCUAUGUCACCUUUACAAAGAUAACUAAGUCCCAUCUUAAAAGUCCUUCCUAUGGAAAGCACCCCAAUGGUAAUACACCUUCCUUAUGGAACUCCCUCUGUCACCAAGUAGACCAAGUGCUGGGGUGCCAGAAGCUGUGUACAUCCAGGGUUAAAUACUCUAUUUUUCACUUGCAUUAGGUAGGAAGGCCAGAUGCAGCAUCUCACCAGCAUCAGCAAGCCUGACCAUAUCUACUUCCAAACUACUUCAGGUGUCUCCACAAAUCAGUGUCAAGCAUAGCACAGCUCAGCUCUGUGCUUCAAAGACAGAGCAGUUGGUUUUAAUCUACAAGUAAAAUAAUAUUAAUGAAGAAAGAAAAUAAAAAAGACAGCUUUUCUUCCAGC